This 168-nucleotide ribosomal RNA is filed under the name Staphylococcus aureus. RNAcentral describes it as "partial 23S ribosomal RNA". It matches the Rfam family "Bacterial large subunit ribosomal RNA", at positions 2755 to 2925 of the family's 2925-position model. RNAcentral also lists the same sequence under 1 other name. The record is from RNAcentral. Lineage: Bacteria; Bacillati; Bacillota; Bacilli; Caryophanales; Staphylococcaceae.
GUGGACGGGAUAAGUGCUGAAAGCAUCUAAGCAUGAAGCCCCCCUCAAGAUGAGAUUUCCCAACUUCGGUUAUAAGAUCCCUCAAAGAUGAUGAGGUUAAUAGGUUCGAGGUGGAAGCAUGGUGACAUGUGGAGCUGACGAAUACUAAUCGAUCGAAGACUUAAUCAA